RNAcentral lists this non-coding RNA (25 nucleotides) under Mus musculus (house mouse). Lineage: Eukaryota; Metazoa; Chordata; Mammalia; Rodentia; Muridae. The record is from RNAcentral.
UGCUGGUUGACUGCUAGUGGGUCUG